UACAGAGGCCCCAAGCGUUGUUCGGAUUUACUGGGCGUAAAGCGUGCGUAGGCGGCGAGGCAAGUCAGAUGUGAAAUCUCGGGGCUCAACCCCGAAACUGCAUCCGAAACUGCCUUGCUAGAGGACUGGAGAGGAAUCUGGAAUUCACGGUGUAGCAGUGAAAUGCGUGGAUAUCGUGAGGAAGACCAAUGGCGAAGGCAGGACUCUGGACAGUUCCUGACGCUGAGGCACGAAGGCUAGGGGAGCGAAAAGG
RNAcentral lists this ribosomal RNA (253 nucleotides) under uncultured bacterium. RNAcentral describes it as "partial 16S ribosomal RNA". It matches the Rfam family "Bacterial small subunit ribosomal RNA", at positions 524 to 776 of the family's 1533-position model. The record is from RNAcentral.